Molecule: ribosomal RNA, 253 nt
Filed under: uncultured bacterium
Lineage: Bacteria
Description: partial 16S ribosomal RNA
Rfam family: Bacterial small subunit ribosomal RNA
Source: RNAcentral
UACGAAGGGGGCUAGCGUUGUUCGGAAUUACUGGGCGUAAAGGGCGCGUAGGCGGUCCUGAUCGUCGGAUGUGAAAGGCCUGGGCUCAACCUGGGAACUGCAUCCGAUACGGCGGGACUGGAGUGUGGGAGAGGUUGGUGGAAUUCCCAGUGUAGAGGUGAAAUUCGUAGAUAUUGGGAAGAACACCGGUGGCGAAGGCAGGUCUCUGGGCAUUAACUGACGCUGAGGAGCGAAAGCAUGGGGAGCGAACAGG